This 253-nucleotide ribosomal RNA is filed under the name uncultured bacterium. RNAcentral's name for it is "partial 16S ribosomal RNA". It matches the Rfam family "Bacterial small subunit ribosomal RNA", at positions 524 to 776 of the family's 1533-position model. The record is from RNAcentral.
UACGUAGGGACCAAGCGUUGUCCGGAAUCAUUGGGCGUAAAGAGCGUGUAGGCGGCUUGUUAAGUCUUGCGUGAAAUCUCGGGGCUCAACCCCGAGCGGUCGUGAGAAACUGGCGGGCUAGAGUGCGGGAGAGGAGAGUGGAAUUCCUGGUGUAGCGGUGAAAUGCGCAGAUAUCAGGAAGAACACCCGUGGCGAAGGCGGCUCUCUGGGACGGUACUGACGCUGAGACGCGAAAGCGUGGGGAGCGAACAGG